RNAcentral lists this long non-coding RNA (1077 nucleotides) under Canis lupus familiaris (dog). Its description in RNAcentral is "lncRNA (ENSCAFG00040006738.1)". Lineage: Eukaryota; Metazoa; Chordata; Mammalia; Carnivora; Canidae. The record is from RNAcentral.
AUGGCCACUUCCUGGAAACUCCCCUCGGCGGCGGCGGCGGCGGCGGCGGCGGCGGCGGCGGCGGCGGGAGAAGUCGCGGAGCCGCCCCCGCCCCCGCCCGCGGGACCGGCCUCCCCGCCCGGCCCCGCCACGAGCGCAGCCCGAGCCGCGCUGGGACGGCCGGGGGUCUCCGCGGCGAGGCGGGAGGUGCGGGCUGCGGGGGCUGCUGGGACUUGUAGUCCGCGCGCGGGGUCGGGGGGGCAGUGGCUGGGCGCCACCGGCCGGUGCGGGGUCUCUGCGAGGCUGCAGCCGGCGCGGGGGGCCGGGGCUGGGGCUGGGGCUGGGGCUGGGCCCCGCGAGCUAGGAAGCCAGGUUCGCGGCGAGGACAGUGGGGUGCUGCGGGCGCCCAGGGGUGUCCCCGCCACCGAGCUGCCUGCACCCCGUCGGGGCCGGCCAAUGCCCUGGGACCACCGGCCCACUCGCUGCCGCGCGGGGCCGGGAGAGGCCGCCGGAGCCCGUCUGCCGGGGCCGGGGGCCGGGGGCCGGGGGCCCCACCUGGUGCUCCGAUCCGAGCCUGGGCGGGACCCCGGGCGGGACCUGCGAGUCCGGCCGGGCGGCCUUCCCGGGAAGAGACCAGCCUUCCAUUCCUGCGGGUUGAGUCCUUGCGCAACGAAUGCGCAGGAUGCUCAUUUCACCUCGACCGUCGAGGCGCAGGAUUGCAAGUUUCAUCACCCUGCUUGCCCCAGGGACUGGAGGCGACGUCGCAGUGGAAUCUGGGCCCCGUGCAAAGAGAACCACACGUCUCAGGGCACGCACAUUCUCUCUGCUAACCUUGCUACUCAAAAUGUUCAUAAAUCUCAGAGAAACAACACUUCAAAGCAAGCCGAUGGCUUCAGUGAGCUCUGGUCCUUUUCACUGACCAGCCUUACAAAAUCUAGCUCCAAAUCCUCCAAAACUCUUUUUUUUCUUUCCCUUCUUUCUGCCUUUCUGCUCUCUCUUUGGGAAUAUGGCAAGAUUUGCCUCCUGCUCCUCCAUUGGCCUCCUCUCCGGUCAUUCCGCCUUCCAUACUUCCCCCACAUCACCCCCAAUAUCUUCUGA